RNAcentral lists this ribosomal RNA (315 nucleotides) under uncultured eukaryote. RNAcentral describes it as "partial 18S ribosomal RNA". It matches the Rfam family "Eukaryotic small subunit ribosomal RNA", at positions 1470 to 1796 of the family's 1831-position model. The record is from RNAcentral.
CCCUUAGAUGUCCUGGGCUGCACGCGUGCUACACUGAUUUCAUCAAUAUGUUUGUUUUUCGGAAGAACGAAUAAAACACGAAAUGAAAUCGUGCUGGGAAUAGAUAAUUGUAAUUAUUUAUCUUGAACGAGGAAUUCCUAGUAAACGCAAGUCAUCAGCUUGCAUUGAUUACGUCCCUGCCCUUUGUACACACCGCCCGUCGCACCUACCGAUUGAAUGGUCCGGUGAAAUCUCGGGACGGCGGCUCGGUCGCUUGCGUCCGACUGCUGAAACUUGAUUAAACCAUAUCAUUUAGAGGAAGGUGAAGUCGUAACA